Molecule: long non-coding RNA, 940 nt
Organism: Oreochromis niloticus (Nile tilapia)
Lineage: Eukaryota; Metazoa; Chordata; Actinopteri; Cichliformes; Cichlidae
Exons: 2
Source: RefSeq, a predicted model, not a curated record
ACCCACUCUGGAAUUAAGGCGUACAGCUGUGACAUUUGUGGAAAAACUUUCAGCCGGAUAGGGAGCCGAAAUACACACCUACGCAUUCACACCAGACAUGAUGUGUACAGCUGUGAUCAGUGUGGUAAACAGUUUACUACAAACACAGAGUUACGACGUCACAUGUUUACCCACACUGAGGAACGACCUUAUAAAUGUGACCUGUGUGAGAAGACUUUUAAAUCUCCACAUUACCUGAAAGCACACCAACAGAUCCACACCAGAAAGACUCUACAAGUGCAGUUACUGUGAGAAGCAGAGCGACACAGAUGGAUCAAGUUCUCAACCCUGUCAUCGCUGUGGGAAAGACUUUUGUUGUGACCUUUGUGGAAAAACUUUAGGUCAUUGAAGGACUCUGAAAAUACAUCAACGUAGACACACUGGAGACAAAAUGAACUACUGUAAAGAAUGCGGGAGAGGCUUCACCACUUCAAAGGACUUCAAACAAUAUGAACUCCUUCACAGUGGCGUUAAAAAGCAUGUCUGCGAUCAGUGUGGGUCAUCCUUCAUCAGUGCACGUCAGCUUGAAAAGCGUAAACGAGUCCACACAUGAGAGAAACCAUACAAGUGCAGACACUGUGACAAAACCUUUUCACAAUCAUGUGAUCGUACUAAGCAUGAACGCAGACACAUGAAAGAGAACUUCAUCUGUGAAAGAGUUUGAGUAAUCUCAGUUCAUACUCCACUCAGAAACGAUUCCAUGUUACAAAUAAACUGUUACGUCUUGAUUCCUGCUUUUACUUUAAUCUUGUAAACAGUACAUUUGGAUAACGACUGAAACCGGCCCAAUGAAUGAACAAUGGGCUGUGAGGUCAAUUUCUUCAUCAUUAAUAUGCAAAUUCUUAUGAGCAUUGAUCAACAACCACUGGUCAAUGGCCAUGAGUACCAUUCACAGAGUAAA